Molecule: ribosomal RNA, 726 nt
Filed under: bacterium IMCC8462
Lineage: Bacteria
Description: bacterial SSU rRNA
Rfam family: Bacterial small subunit ribosomal RNA
Source: RNAcentral
GAUGAACGCUAGCGGCAGGCUUAACACAUGCAAGUCGAGGGGUAACAGGGAGAGCUUGCUUUCUGCUGACGACCGGCGCACGGGUGCGUAACGCGUAUACAAUCUACCUUAUACUGGGGUAUAGCCUUUAGAAAUGAAGAUUAAUCCCCCAUAGUCUCUUUUUGUGGCAUCACUAAAGGAGUAAAGGUUACGGUAUAAGAUGAGUAUGCGUUCUAUUAGUUUGUUGGUGUGGUAACGGCACACCAAGACUACGAUAGAUAGGGGCCCUGAGAGGGGGAUCCCCCACACUGGUACUGAGACACGGACCAGACUCCUACGGGAGGCAGCAGUGAGGAAUAUUGGACAAUGGAGGCAACUCUGAUCCAGCCAUGCCGCGUGUAGGAUGACUGCCCUAUGGGUUGUAAACUACUUUUAUACAGGAAGAAACACCUCUACGUGUAGAGGCUUGACGGUACUGUAAGAAUAAGGAUCGGCUAACUCCGUGCCAGCAGCCGCGGUAAUACGGAGGAUCCAAGCGUUAUCCGGAAUCAUUGGGUUUAAAGGGUCCGUAGGUUGAUAAUUAAGUCAGAGGUGAAAUCUUGCAGCUCAACUGUAAAAUUGCCUUUGAUACUGAUUAUCUUGAGUUAUUAUGAAGUAGUUAGAAUAUGUAGUGUAGCGGUGAAAUGCAUAGAUAUUACAUAGAAUACCAAUUGCGAAGGCAGAUUACUAAUAAUCAACUGACACUGA